This 75-nucleotide transfer RNA is filed under the name Salmonella sp. FORC89. Its description in RNAcentral is "tRNA-Gln". Lineage: Bacteria; Pseudomonadati; Pseudomonadota; Gammaproteobacteria; Enterobacterales; Enterobacteriaceae. The record is from RNAcentral.
CCAGCACUAACAGCAGCAGCAAACCGAUAAUCACCAGCCCGAAUCCACUCACGCUCGCGGAAGCGACCGGCGUCA